UCGCCUGUUUAACAAAAACAUGUCUUUUUGAAAUUUUUUUAAAGUCUAGCCUGCCCACUGAAAUUUUUUAAAUGGCCGCAGUAUACUAACUGUGCAAAGGUAGCAUAAUCAUUAGUCUUUUAAUUGAAGGCUGGUAUGAAUGGUUGGACGAGAUAUUAACUGUUUCAUAAUAAUUUAUAAUAGAAUUUUAUUUUUUAGUCAAAAAGCUAAAAUAUAUUUAAAAGACGAGAAGACCCUAUAAAUCUUUAUAUUUAGAUUAUUAUAAUUUUAUAGAUUUUUUUUAUUAUAAUAAUCAAUGAUAUUUUAUUGGGGUGAUAUUAAAAUUUAAUAAACUUUUAAUUGUUAAAAUCAUUAAUUUAUGAAUAAUUGAUCCGUUAUUAGCGAUUAAAAAAAUAAGUUACUUUAGGGAUAACAGCGUAAUUUUUUUGGAGAGUUCAUAUCGAUAAAAAAGAUUGCGACCUCGAUGUUGGAUUAAGAUAUAAUUUUAGGUGUAGCCGCUUAAAUUUUAAGUCUGUUCGACUUUUAAAUUCUUACGUGAUCUGAGUUCAGACCGGA
Molecule: ribosomal RNA, 555 nt
Filed under: Aldrichina grahami
Lineage: Eukaryota; Metazoa; Arthropoda; Insecta; Diptera; Calliphoridae
Description: partial 16S ribosomal RNA
Rfam family: Bacterial large subunit ribosomal RNA
Source: RNAcentral